This 243-nucleotide ribosomal RNA is filed under the name uncultured Staphylococcus sp. RNAcentral describes it as "partial 16S ribosomal RNA". It matches the Rfam family "Bacterial small subunit ribosomal RNA", at positions 97 to 334 of the family's 1533-position model. The record is from RNAcentral. Lineage: Bacteria; Bacillati; Bacillota; Bacilli; Caryophanales; Staphylococcaceae.
GGCGGACGGGUGAGUAACACGUGGAUAACCUACCUAUAAGACUGGGAUAACUUCGGGAAACCGGAGCUAAUACCGGAUAAUAUAUUGAACCGCAUGGUUCAAUAGUGAAAGACGGUUUUGCUGUCACUUAUAGAUGGAUCCGCGCCGCAUUAGCUAGUUGGUAAGGUAACGGCUUACCAAGGCAACGAUGCGUAGCCGACCUGAGAGGGUGAUCGGCCACACUGGAACUGAGACACGGUCCAG